RNAcentral lists this ribosomal RNA (405 nucleotides) under uncultured bacterium. RNAcentral's name for it is "partial 16S ribosomal RNA". It matches the Rfam family "Bacterial small subunit ribosomal RNA", at positions 30 to 526 of the family's 1533-position model. The record is from RNAcentral.
AUUGAACGCUGGCGGGAUGCUUCACACAUGCAAGUCGACCGAGUGGCGGACGGGUGAGUAAUGGUUGGGAAUCUAGCUUAUGGGGGGGGAUAAAUACGGGAAACUGUAGAUAAUACCGCGUACCAUAGUAUGAGCCCAAGUGGGUUUAGGUAUUUGGUGAGGUAAAGACUCACCAAGCCGACGAUCUCUAGCUGGUCUGAGAGGAUGACCAGCCACACUGGGACUGAGACACGGCCCAGAAUCCUACGGGAUGCAGUAGUGCUGAAUAUUGCAAAAUUGGGGCAACCUGACACAGCCAUGCCGCGUGAAUGAAGAAGGCCUUCGGGUUGUAAAGUCCUUUCGGUAGCGAGGCGUUAACUAUAGAAGAAGCACCGGCUAACUCCGUGCCAGCCGCCGCGGUAAUUC